RNAcentral lists this unclassified non-coding RNA (338 nucleotides) under uncultured fungus. Its description in RNAcentral is "partial contains 5.8S rRNA and ITS2". Lineage: Eukaryota; Fungi. The record is from RNAcentral.
AACGCACCUUGCGCUCCCUGGUAUUCUGGGGAGCAUGCCUGUUUGAGUGUCAUGAAUCUCUCAACCUAUUAGAUUGCAAAAUCGAAGUAGUGUUGGACUUGGAGGCUUGCUGGCCUAGUCAGCUCCUCUCAAAUGCAUUAGCUAUGGAUCGCGCGGCGAUUAGAUCUACGGUGUGAUACAUGUCUUACCUAUGGAUCGAAAGCUAUAAUCACCGCUUCGGCAGUGUAUACUUCAUUGUGUACCGUGUGAUGAGUGAAUACAAAGCUUCUAAUCGUCUGUAACGGACAACUCUUUUGACAUCUGACCUCAAAUCAGGUAGGACUACCCGCUGAACUUAA